RNAcentral lists this transfer RNA (72 nucleotides) under Paenibacillus polymyxa. RNAcentral's name for it is "tRNA-Leu". It matches the Rfam family "tRNA". Rfam says of the family: Transfer RNA (tRNA) molecules are approximately 80 nucleotides in length. RNAcentral also lists the same sequence under 1 other name. Lineage: Bacteria; Bacillati; Bacillota; Bacilli; Caryophanales; Paenibacillaceae. The record is from RNAcentral.
CUGGACUUAGCUCAGCUUGGUAGAGUACGUGCCUAAGACGCGGGGGCGCUGGUUCGAAUCCAACAGUUCAGA